CUGGGAACUGGAAUGGUGCAGGC
This 23-nucleotide non-coding RNA is filed under the name Cricetulus griseus (Chinese hamster). The record is from RNAcentral. Lineage: Eukaryota; Metazoa; Chordata; Mammalia; Rodentia; Cricetidae.